UACAGAGGUCUCAAGCGUUGUUCGGAUUCAUUGGGCGUAAAGGGUGCGUAGGUGGCGCCGUAAGUCAGGUGUGAAAUUUCGGAGCUUAACUCCGAAACUGCAUUUGAUACUGCGGUGCUUGAGGACUGGAGAGGAGACUGGAAUUUACGGUGUAGCAGUGAAAUGCGUAGAGAUCGUAAGGAAGACCAGUGGCGAAGGCGGGAUCUCUGGACAGUUCUACACUGAGGCACGAAGGCCAGGGGAGCAAACGGG
This 252-nucleotide ribosomal RNA is filed under the name uncultured bacterium. Its description in RNAcentral is "partial 16S ribosomal RNA". It matches the Rfam family "Bacterial small subunit ribosomal RNA", at positions 524 to 776 of the family's 1533-position model. The record is from RNAcentral.